GCAGUUGUGGCCCAGUGGUUAGGGCGAUGGACUAGAAAUCUAUUGGGGUCUCCCCGCACAAAUUCGAAUCCUGUCGACUGCG
Molecule: non-coding RNA, 82 nt
Organism: Ixodes scapularis (black-legged tick)
Lineage: Eukaryota; Metazoa; Arthropoda; Arachnida; Ixodida; Ixodidae
Source: Rfam